CUCGUUUCAUAAACGAGCCGAAUACGAGUUAGCUCGUUAAAAUAUCGAGUCGACGAAAAAUUCAGCUCGAUCGUGUGCGGCUCGUCUAUUAACGAGCCGAGCACGAGCUGUCUCAUGAACAACAAGUUAAAAGAAUUAUAAAAAAUAUAUAUAUAAAAAAUAAAUUUAUGAGAUCUUACCCAUUUGACUUUGAUUUAAUAGUUGAAAUUCUACAUAUAAAUGAUCUUUUUAUAAUUAAGUUGGGCUUUAUAUUUAGAUUAAACUAAAAACCAAAAAAUAAAAUUUUAUAUUUUAUAUAUAUAAUUAUUUAUUUAUAUAUAUAUAUAUAAAAUAUAUGUAUUCGAGCCGUUAUCGAGUCGAACACAAGCGAGCUGACCCUUACUCGUGUUCGGCUCGUUUAUUAAACGAACUGAAAAAUUAAGCUCAUGUUCGGUUCGUUGAUUAAACGAGCGAUUUGAUCUCUAGCUCAUUUCAAGCCGAAUAUAAGCUGGCUCAACGAACAACAAGCUAAAUUGCCACCCCUAUCUGAAGGUAAUUAAUGAAACACGCUUCUCACUU
RNAcentral lists this long non-coding RNA (558 nucleotides) under Ananas comosus (pineapple). RNAcentral describes it as "long non-coding RNA (ACOM_LNC036150)". Lineage: Eukaryota; Viridiplantae; Streptophyta; Magnoliopsida; Poales; Bromeliaceae. The record is from RNAcentral.